GCAGAUCAUUAGGGGUGCCCCAAAGCAACGGGCUGAGAUCAUACCCAUAUUACCUGAUCCGGGUAGUGCCGGCGAAGGGAAAUGAGAAAUAGCUAAU
This 97-nucleotide non-coding RNA is filed under the name Cyclobacterium lianum. Its description in RNAcentral is "TPP sequence". It matches the Rfam family "TPP riboswitch aptamer (THI element)". Rfam says of the family: Vitamin B(1) in its active form thiamin pyrophosphate (TPP) is an essential coenzyme that is synthesised by coupling of pyrimidine and thiazole moieties in bacteria. The previously detected thiamin-regulatory element, thi box was extended, resulting in a new, highly conserved RNA secondary structure, the THI element, which is widely distributed in eubacteria and also occurs in some archaea. Analysis of operon structures identified a large number of new candidate thiamin-regulated genes, mostly transporters, in various prokaryotic organisms. The record is from Rfam by way of RNAcentral. Lineage: Bacteria; Pseudomonadati; Bacteroidota; Cytophagia; Cytophagales; Cyclobacteriaceae.